This is a non-coding RNA of Trichonephila clavipes, 69 nucleotides long. The record is from the annotation of a GenBank genome assembly. Lineage: Eukaryota; Metazoa; Arthropoda; Arachnida; Araneae; Nephilidae.
AUGUAGCGCAAUGGAUAGCACGUUGAACUUCUAAUACAAAGGUCAUGGAUUUGAAUCCCACCUGAUAUG